RNAcentral lists this ribosomal RNA (403 nucleotides) under uncultured bacterium. RNAcentral's name for it is "partial 16S ribosomal RNA". It matches the Rfam family "Bacterial small subunit ribosomal RNA", at positions 28 to 526 of the family's 1533-position model. The record is from RNAcentral.
GACGAACGCUGGCGGCGUGCCUAAUACAUGCAAGUCGAACGCAGUGGGGACGGGUGCGUAACACGUGGGUAACCUCCCAUCAGAGGGGAUAACACUUGGAAACUGGUGCUAAACCGCUACUGAUGGAUGGACCCGCGGGGGAUUAGCUUCUUGGAGAGGUAACGGCCCACCAAGGCCACGAUGCAUAGCCGGCCUGAGAGGGUGACCGGCCACACUGGAACUGAGACACGGCCCAGACUCCUACGGGAGGCAGCAGUGGGGAAUCUUCGGCAAUGGGCGAAAGUCUGACAGAGCAACGCCGCGUGAGUGAAGAAGGUUUUCGGAUCGUAAAGCUCUGUUAGUGGAGAAGCGGUAUCUAACCAGGAAGCAACGGCUAACUACGUGCCAGCAGCCGCGGUAAUAC